This 2970-nucleotide ribosomal RNA is filed under the name Kosmotoga olearia TBF 19.5.1. RNAcentral's name for it is "bacterial LSU rRNA". It matches the Rfam family "Bacterial large subunit ribosomal RNA". The record is from RNAcentral. Lineage: Bacteria; Thermotogati; Thermotogota; Thermotogae; Kosmotogales; Kosmotogaceae.
AAAAGUGCAUAGGGAAGGUAAAGGUACAGAAGGCGCACGGUGGAUGCCUAGGCAGCAGGAGGCGAAGAAGGGCGUGGCAAGCUGCGAAAAGCCACGGGGAGGUGCAAACGACCGUUGAUCCGUGGAUGCCCGAAUGGGGAAACCCACCUACCUGAGAGGGUAGGUAUCUCCGAAAGGAGAGGCGAACCCGGUGAAGUGAAACAUCUCAGUAACCGGAGGAAAAGAAAUCAACCGAGAUUCCCUGAGUAGCGGCGAGCGAAAGGGGAGGAGCCUAAACCGUGGUAGUGUAGAAGCCUGCGGGCGUUGCUACCACGGGGUAGAGGGACGCAACUGGGCGAGGCCGCAGACUCGCCGGGGAGUUACAAACCUUGCAUCUAGCUGAAGGGUCUGGGAAGGCCCACCGGAGAGGGUGAAAGUCCCGUAGGCGAAAGGUGCGAGGCUCCCUGGGUUGUGAUCCCGAGUACCACGGGGCACGAGGAAUCCCGUGGGAAUCAGGGGGGACCACCCUCCAAGGCUAAAUACUCCCUGCUGACCGAUAGCGCAAAAGUACCGUGAGGGAAAGGUGAAAAGCACCCCGGGAGGGGAGUGAAAGAGGACCUGAAACCGUGUGCCGACAAGAAGUGGGAGCCCGAAAGGGUGACCGCGUGCCUUUUGAUUAAUGAGCCUGCGAGUUAUCGUAGCUGGCGAGGUUAAGCCGGGAGAGGCGAAGCCGAAGGGAAACCGAGUCUGAAAAGGGCGAGGAGUCAGCUGCGGUAGACCCGAAACCGGGUGAGCUACCCAUGGGCAGGUUGAAGGUGGGGUAACACCCACUGGAGGACCGAACCAGUUGGCGGUAAAAAGCCAUUGGAUGACCUGUGGGUAGGGGUGAAAAGCCAACCGAACCCGGUGAUAUCUGGUUCUCCCCGAAACGUGUCUAAGCACGGCCCUGCAUGGUCAGUGAUGGGGGUAGAGCACUGGUUGAGCUAGGGGGGCAACCUCCGACCUCAGCCAAACUCCGAAUACCAUCACUCAAAGUGCAGGAGACAGACUACGGGCGAUAAGGUCCGUGGUCGAAAGGGAAACAGCCCAGACCACCAGCUAAGGGCCCGAAGAGGUGGCUAAGUGUUAAAGGAAGUGAAGAGUCGAAGACAGCUGGGAUGUUGGCUUAGAAGCAGCCAUCAUUUAAAGAGUGCGUAACAGCUCACCAGUUGAGGCUCUUCGCGCCGAAGAUGUAAGGGGGCUGAAGCCACCCUCCGAAGCUGUGGGACAGCAGCGAAAGGCUGUUGUCGGUAGGGGAGCAUUGCGCGGUAGGGCGAAGGCAGACCCGCGAGGGCUGCUGGACGAAGCGCAAGAGAGAAUGCAGGCAUGAGUAGCGAGAGGAGAGUGAGAAUCUCUCCCCCCGAAAGCCUAAGGGUACCUGGGGAAGGGUCGUCCGCCCAGGGUUAGUCGGUACCCUAAGGUGAACCCGAAAGGGUUAGCCGAUGGGAAACCGGUUAAUAUUCCGGUACCAGCUAAUAGUGAGGCUUGGGGCGUGACGCAGGAGGAUAGGCCUCGCGUACUGGUUGCACAGUGCGUCCAAGCGUCAAGGCCGAUGAUGGAGGUAGGCAAAUCCGCCUCCGGAGGCUGAGGCGUGAUGGGGAGCUUCUUCGGGAGCGACGAGGUUGCGUUCACACUGCCGAGAAAAGCGUCGCAAGCCGCUUGAGCUAUUAGCUGACCGUUCCGCAAACCGACACAGGUAGGCUGGCUGAGAAGGCUAAGGGGAGCGGGAUAACCCCCGUUAAGGAACUAGGCAAAAUGGCCCCGUAACUUUGGGAGAAGGGGUGCUCUCUGGUGUGAAUAGCACCGGGGAGCCGCAGUGACAAGGCUCCGGCGACUGUUUACCAAAAACACAGGACUCUGCUAACUCGAAAGAGGAAGUAUAGGGUCUGACGCCUGCCCAGUGCCGGAAGGUUAAGGGGAGGGGUUAGCCCGAAAGGGCGAAGCUCUGAACCGAAGCCCCGGCAAACGGCGGCCGUAACUAUAACGGUCCUAAGGUAGCGAAAUUCCUUGUCGGGUAAGUUCCGACCUGCACGAAUGGCGUAACGAUCGGAGCACUGUCUCAACGGGGGGCCCGGCGAAAUUUCAGUCUGGGUGAAGAUGCCCAGUACUCGCAGCUAGACGGAAAGACCCCGUGGAGCUUUACUGCAGCUUGGUAUUGUACUUUGUUGUGGUGUGUACAGGAUAGGUGGGAGGCUGAGAACCCGGCUCGCCAGGGUCGGGGGAGCCGCCGGUGGGAUACCACCCUCGCCACAGCGGAGUACUAACCUGGUGGUGUGAAGAGCACCACAGGGACAGUGCUAGGCAGGCAGUUUGACUGGGGCGGUCGCCUCCAAAAAGGUAACGGAGGCGCACGAAGGUCGGCUCAGGUUGGUUGGAAACCAACCGGAGAGUGUAAGGGCAAAAGCCGGCUUGACUGUGAGGCUGACAGGCCGAGCAGGAGGGAAACCUGGUCCUAGUGACCUUGCGGCACUGAGUGGAAAGGCCGUUGAUCAGCGGAUAAAAGUUACCCCGGGGAUAACAGGCUAAUACCGCCCGAGAGUUCACAUCGACGGCGGUGUUUGGCACCUCGAUGUCGGCUCAUCGCAUCCUGGGGCUGGAGCAGGUCCCAAGGGUUAGGCUGUUCGCCUAUUAAAGCGGUACGUGAGCUGGGUUCAGAACGUCGUGAGACAGUUCGGUCCCUAUCUGCUGCGAGCGGAGGAGGCUUGAGGAGGGUCACCCCUAGUACGAGAGGACCGGGGUGAGUGGACCACUGGUGAACCAGCUGUCGUGCAAGCGGCAGUAGCUGGGUAGCCAACGUCCAUGAGCGAUAACCGCUGAAAGCAUCUAAGCGGGAAACGUGCUCCAAGACGAGGCCUCCAAGGGUCGUCCGAGAAGAGGACGUAGAUAGGCUGGAGGUGUAAGCCCCGCGAGGGGUUGAGCCGACCAGUACUAAUCACCCGAGACCUUUACCUA